GAUGAACGCUGGCGGCGUGCCUAAUACAUGCAAGUCGAGCGAACAGAUGAGGAGCUUGCUCCUCUGACGUUAGCGGCGGACGGGUGAGUAACACGUGGAUAACCUACCUAUAAGACUGGGAUAACUUCGGGAAACCGGAGCUAAUACCGGAUAAUAUAUUGAACCGCAUGGUGCAAUAGUGAAAGACGGUUUUGCUGUCACUUAUAGAUGGAUCCGCGCCGCAUUAGCUAGUUGGUAAGGUAACGGCUCACCAAGGCAACGAUGCGUAGCCGACCUGAGAGGGUGAUCGGCCACACUGGAACUGAGACACGGUCCAGACUCCUACGGGAGGCAGCAGUAGGGAAUCUUCCGCAAUGGGCGAAAGCCUGACGGAGCAACGCCGCGUGAGUGAUGAAGGUCUUCGGAUCGUAAAACUCUGUUAUUAGGGAAGAACAAAUGUGUAAGUAACUAUGCACGUCUUGACGGUACCUAAUCAGAAAGCCACGGCUAACUACGUG
Molecule: ribosomal RNA, 497 nt
Filed under: uncultured bacterium
Lineage: Bacteria
Description: partial 16S ribosomal RNA
Rfam family: Bacterial small subunit ribosomal RNA
Source: RNAcentral